RNAcentral lists this ribosomal RNA (253 nucleotides) under uncultured bacterium. Its description in RNAcentral is "partial 16S ribosomal RNA". It matches the Rfam family "Bacterial small subunit ribosomal RNA", at positions 524 to 776 of the family's 1533-position model. The record is from RNAcentral.
UACGAAGGGGGCUAGCGUUGCUCGGAAUCACUGGGCGUAAAGCGCACGUAGGCGGAUUGCUAAGUCAGGGGUGAAAUCCUGGAGCUCAACUCCAGAACUGCCUUUGAUACUGGCAAUCUCGAGUCCGGGAGAGGUGAGUGGAACUGCGAGUGUAGAGGUGAAAUUUGUAGAUAUUCGCAAGAACACCAGUGGCGAAGGCGGCUCACUGGCCCGGUACUGACGCUGAGGUGCGAAAGCGUGGGGAGCAAACAGG